GAUGAAGAACGUAGCGAAAUGCGAUAAGUAAUGUGAAUUGCAGAAUUCAGUGAAUCAUCGAAUCUUUGAACGCACCUUGCGCUCCUUGGCAUUCCGAGGAGCAUGCCUGUUUGAGUGUCAUUAAAUUCUCAAGACCUGUCUGCUUUUUUGAUAGGUAUUGGAUUUUGGGGGUUGCAGGCUGUUUCAAAUAAAUAGCCUUGCUCUCCUUGAAUGUAUUAGUGGAGAAAAGCCAUUGAACUCCAUUGGUGUGAUAAAACCUAUCAAUGCCAGGAGCAAUAUCACUACUUCUCUCUGCUGUCUAACUGUGACUGUCUGUAUUAAUUAGUAUGGAUGGGGACAACUUGACCAACUUGACCUCAAAUCAGGUAGGACUACCCGCUGAACUUAAGCAUAUCAAUAAGCGGAGA
This 407-nucleotide unclassified non-coding RNA is filed under the name soil metagenome. RNAcentral describes it as "partial contains 5.8S ribosomal RNA, internal transcribed spacer 2, and large subunit ribosomal RNA". The stretch from base 1 to 120 matches the Rfam family "5.8S ribosomal RNA", at positions 35 to 154 of the family's 154-position model. The record is from RNAcentral.